RNAcentral lists this ribosomal RNA (1181 nucleotides) under marine metagenome. RNAcentral's name for it is "bacterial SSU rRNA". It matches the Rfam family "Archaeal small subunit ribosomal RNA", at positions 293 to 1467 of the family's 1478-position model. The record is from RNAcentral.
GAGAUGGAUUCUGAGACACGAAUCCAGACCCUACGGGGUGCAGCAGGCGCGAAAACUUGGCAAUGCGAGCAAUCGUGACCAGGGAACUCCAAGUGCGUAGGGUAAGACCUACGCUUUUCUUGACUCUUCAAAGGUCUUGGAAUAAGGGGUGGGUAAGGACGGUGCCAGCCGCCGCGGUAAUACCGGCGCCUCAAGUGGUAGUCGCUUUUAUUGGGCCUAAAACGUCCGUAGCCGGUCUGGUACAUUCGUGGGUAAAUCAACCCGCUCAACGGGUUGAAUUCUGCGAGCACGGCCAGACUUGGGACCGGGAGAGGUGUGGGGUACUCUCAGGGUAGGGGUAAAAUCCUGUCAUCCUGAGAGGACCACCUGUUGCGAAGGCGCCACACUAGAACGGAUCCGACGGUCAGGGACGAAACCUAGGGGCACGAACCGGAUUAGAUACCCGGGUAGUCCUAGGUGUAAACGCUGUGGACUUGAUGUUGGGGGCGCUCCGAGCGCUCUCAGUGUCGAAGCGAAGGUGAUAAGUCCACUGCCUGGGGAGUACGGUCGCAAGGCUGAACUUAAGGAAUUGGCGGGGAGCACCGCAACCUGAGGAUUGUGCGGUUUAAUUGGAUUCAACGCCGGAAAACUCACCAGUGCCGACGGACAGAUGAAAGCCAGUGUGAUGAGCUUGCUGGAUUGUUCGAGAGGUAGUGCAUGGCCGCCGUCAGUUCGUACCGUAAGGCGUUCUGUUAAGUCAGAUAACGAACGAGACCCUCAUCCCUAUUUGCUAAGGUUUCUCCCUUCGGGGCGAGAUCACAGGACUAUAGGGAGACCGCUGGCGAGAAGUCAGAGGAAGGUGAGGGCAACGGUAGGUCAGUAUGCUCCGAAUGCACUGGGCUACACGCGCAAUACAAAGGACGGGACAAUGGGCCGCUGCUCCGAGAGGAAAGAUGGCUAUCCCGAAACCCGUUCGUAGUUCGGAUUGAGGGCUGUAACUCGCCCUCAUGAAGCUGGAUUAGGUAGUAAUCGCGUCUCAAUAGGGCGCGGUGAAUAUGCCCCUGCUCCUUGCACACACCGCCCGUCAAACCAUCGUUAGUUGGGGGUGGGUGAGGCUGCCCAUGAAAUAUGGGGUAUUCGAGCCUGCCUUCGACAAGGAGGGUUAAGUCGUAACAAGGUAUCUGUAGGGGAACCUGCAGAUG